CUGCCAGACUCCUACGGGAGGCAGCAGUGGGGAAUAUUGGGCAAUGGGCGCAAGCCUGACCCAGCAACGCCGCGUGAAGGAAGAAGGCCCUCGGGUUGUAAACUUCUUUUAUCAGGGACGAAACAAAUGACGGUACCUGAUGAAUAAGCCACGGCUAACUACGUGCCAGCAGCCGCGGUAAUACGUAGGUGGCAAGCGUUAUCCGGAUUUACUGGGUGUAAAGGGCGUGUAGGCGGGUCUGCAAGUCAGAUGUGAAAUUCCAGGGCUCAACCCUGGAACUGCAUUUGAAGCUGUUUUUCUUGAGUACUGGAGAGGCAGACGGAAUUCCUAGUGUAGCGGUGAAAUGCGUAGAUAUUAGGAGGAACACCAGUGGCGAAGGCGGUCUGCUGGACGGCAACUGACGCUGAGGCGCGAAAGCGUGGGGAGCAAACAGGAUUAGAUACCCUUGUA
RNAcentral lists this ribosomal RNA (450 nucleotides) under uncultured bacterium. RNAcentral's name for it is "partial 16S ribosomal RNA". It matches the Rfam family "Bacterial small subunit ribosomal RNA", at positions 328 to 792 of the family's 1533-position model. The record is from RNAcentral.